UACGAAGGGGGCUAGCGUUGCUCGGAUUGACUGGGCGUAAAGGGCGCGUAGGCGGUUUUGCACAGUUGGGCGUGAAAUUCCUGGGCUUAACCUGGGGGCUGCGUUCAAUACGUGUAGGCUUGAGUUCGGAAGAGGGGUCGUGGAAUUCCCAGUGUAGAGGUGAAAUUCGUAGAUAUUGGGAAGAACACCGGUGGCGAAAGGCGGCGACCUGGUCCGAUACUGACGCUGAGGCGCGAAAGCGUGGGGGAGCAAAACAGGA
This 259-nucleotide ribosomal RNA is filed under the name uncultured bacterium. RNAcentral's name for it is "partial 16S ribosomal RNA". It matches the Rfam family "Bacterial small subunit ribosomal RNA", at positions 524 to 777 of the family's 1533-position model. The record is from RNAcentral.